Molecule: ribosomal RNA, 253 nt
Filed under: uncultured bacterium
Lineage: Bacteria
Description: partial 16S ribosomal RNA
Rfam family: Bacterial small subunit ribosomal RNA
Source: RNAcentral
UACAGAGGUCCCGAGCGUUGUUCGGAUUCAUUGGGCGUAAAGGGUGCGUAGGCGGCGGGGAAAGUCUGAUGUGAAAUCCUGGGGCUCAACCCUGGGAUGCCGGUGGAUACUGUCGGGCUCGAGUCCGGAAGAGGCGAGUGGAAUUCCUGGUGUAGCGGUGAAAUGCGCAGAUAUCAGGAGGAACACCAAUGGCGAAGGCAGCUCGCUGGGACGUGACUGACGCUGAGACGCGAAAGCGUGGGGAGCAAACAGG